This 24-nucleotide non-coding RNA is filed under the name Rattus norvegicus (Norway rat). The record is from RNAcentral. Lineage: Eukaryota; Metazoa; Chordata; Mammalia; Rodentia; Muridae.
UUUUAUGGAAAUGGUGACUAGGAU